RNAcentral lists this small RNA (332 nucleotides) under Histoplasma capsulatum. RNAcentral's name for it is "hypothetical RNA". The record is from RNAcentral. RNAcentral also lists the same sequence under 1 other name. Lineage: Eukaryota; Fungi; Ascomycota; Eurotiomycetes; Onygenales; Ajellomycetaceae.
ACAUCUGUUUCUUGUGUGGGUUGUAUACACAGCAAAGACUCAUUUCAAUUUUGCAUUCUGCUUUCUGCAUAUGAUCAUCUCAUUGACCAUCCCCAUCUCUAUUGCAAUUAUUUGUGAAGCUUCAAGAAGAGUUUCUGUUCUUUCAUCACUUCAGAUACCACUUCAUAUACAUCUAUUACUACUCUCAUCUUUAAUUCUUUUGCAACUCAUUCAUUCUUCUUCACUUCUGCUUUCACUUCUACUCUUUCUUCUCUUUCUUCAUUUUCUGUCAGAUAAGCAUUCAUCAUUUAUUCUUGUAGAGGUUCAGACAUCUGCUCUAUCAUAUUACCCAC